RNAcentral lists this ribosomal RNA (478 nucleotides) under uncultured bacterium. RNAcentral's name for it is "partial 16S ribosomal RNA". It matches the Rfam family "Bacterial small subunit ribosomal RNA", at positions 28 to 523 of the family's 1533-position model. The record is from RNAcentral.
GACGAACGCUGGCGGCGUGCUUAACACAUGCAAGUCGAACGGUAAGGCCCUUCGGGGUACACGAGUGGCGAACGGGUGAGUAACACGUGGGUGAUCUACCCUGCACUUCGGGAUAAGCUUGGGAAACUGGGUCUAAUACCGGAUAGGACCACUGCCUGCAUGGGUGGGGGUGGAAAGCUUUUGCGGGGUGGGAUGGGCCCGCGGCCUAUCAGCUUGUUGGUGGGGUGGUGGCCUACCAAGGCGACGACGGGUAGCCGGCCUGUGAGGGUGACCGGCCACAUUGGGACUGGGAUACGGCCCAGACUCCUACGGGAGGCAGAAGUGGGGAAUAUUGCACAAUGGGCGCAAGCCUGAUGCAGCGACGCCGCGUGAGGGAUGACGGCCUUCGGGUUGUAAACCUCUUUCAGCACCGACGAAGCGCAAGUGACGGUAGGUGCAGAAGAAGGACCGGCCAACUACGUGCCAGCAGCCGCCGUAA